Molecule: ribosomal RNA, 466 nt
Filed under: uncultured bacterium
Lineage: Bacteria
Description: partial 16S ribosomal RNA
Rfam family: Bacterial small subunit ribosomal RNA
Source: RNAcentral
GAUGAACGCUGGCGGCGUGCUUAACACAUGCAAGUCGAACGGAAAGGCCCAAGCUUGCUUGGGUACUCGAGUGGCGAACGGGUGAGUAACACGUGGGUGAUCUGCCCUGCACUUCGGGAUAAGCCUGGGAAACGGGGUCUAAUACCGGAUAGGACCACAUUUGGGAUGGUGUGGUGGAAAGUUUUUCGGUGUGGGAUGAGCUCGCGGCCUAUCAGCUUGUUGGUGGGGUAAUGGCCUACCAAGGCGUCGACGGGUAGCCGGCCUGAGAGGGUGUACGGCCACAUUGGGACUGAGAUACGGCCCAGACUCCUACGGGAGGCAGCAGUGGGGAAUAUUGCACAAUGGGCGCAAGCCUGAUGCAGCGACGCCGCGUGGGGGAUGACGGCCUUCGGGUUGUAAACUCCUUUCGCUAGGGACGAAGCGUUAUGUGACGGUACCUGGAGAAGAAGCACCGGCUAACUACGUG